UUCAUAAUUUAGUAUCUCAGGACACAAUGUCUAUAUUUGUGUCCAACAUAAUUUUGUAUGUAUCCUUAUUUCCAUGUCUCAUGCUUGUAAAAUUUUUCGGGCAAUACAGUUUCUUCUAAAACAUUGGUGGUCGUUCCCCUAUAAGAAAAUACUUAAAAUUUGAGCUACAAAGACUACUUUAAUCUGAAACUCAGCAUUUCUUUCUUUUUAUAUAUAAAAGAUAAAGAGAGAAGCAUGCAACUAGUUUGGUCUCAGCGUUUCCUUUUUAUCAUUGGGAUUGCACGGGGCGUUCUCUAUCUCCAUCAAGAUUCAAGACAUAGAAUAGUUCAUAGAGAUCUCAAGGCUAGCAAUAUUCUGCUAGAUGAUGAAAUGAAUGCCAAAAUCUCUGAUUUUGGACUAGCCAGAAGCUUUAUUGGAAAUGAAAAUGAAGCAAACACAACAACAAUUGUUGGAACUUAGUAAGUACUUGAUUACUUAACAUGUUAAUAUAUAUAAUUAACAUAAACCUUGUGCUGAAGCUGUUUACUUGUAUCAUUGUAUGUUGAUGUUUGUAGUGGUUAUGUAUCACCAGAGUACCUAAUUGAUGGAAUUUUCUCAACGAAGUCUGAUGUUUAUAGCUUUGGUGUGCUUGUAUUAGAGAUAGUAAGUGGAAAAAGAAAUAGAGGGUUCAGCAACAGAAAUCAUCGCUUUAAUCUUCUGGGGCAUGUAUGGAAACUCUUUAUAGAAGAUAAUUGCUCUGAAAUAGUUGAUCCGUCCAUCAGAAAUUCGUCCGAUUUAUCCAGAGUCAUAAGAGCAAUUCAUGUGGGUCUACUUUGCGUUCAACAGAAUCCAGAAGACAGGCCAAGCAUGUUGCAUGUUCUUAUGAUGCUGAGUAGCGAAUGCACAUUGCUUCAACCAAAAAUGCCAGGGUUCUUCACUGAGAGAGAUCUUGUUGGUGACACUUCAUCAAGCAAGAGUGAACUAGUGUCAUUUAAUGAAAUCUCAGUUAGUGUGGUGCAUCCACGGUAGAUGUUGUUUCUUAAAUAAUUGAUUAGCUAAAUUCAGCACAUGACAGUAGCAUACAGUCCUUUUACAAGAGUAGAGAAAAUUUAUACUGUCAUGUUUAGGGAUUUUGUUAAUUGAUUACAUGUUCUUUAUAUGCUAUUUUAUGGUUAUGGUGCAUGGGAAUAUGUUCUUUCUUGUUUACGUCCUCUGAUCAAAAUAUGCAGUGGAAUGGAGUUGUGCUUGCAACAUUCUUCUUUCUUAUUUAUUUUAUGAAUAAUUAUAUAUCUAAUAUAUAUUAUUAUGCAAGAAUCUUUUUUGAACUU
Molecule: non-coding RNA, 1307 nt
Organism: Arachis ipaensis
Lineage: Eukaryota; Viridiplantae; Streptophyta; Magnoliopsida; Fabales; Fabaceae
Source: RefSeq, a predicted model, not a curated record